UUGAAAUUGACGUACGUACCUGGUGUUUCCAAAAGGUGAGGAUACCUCGCUUUUAUUUUUUGAUUUCAACUCCCAGGUCAUUUCUUCAUAGCAUGGUUCCUCCAUAAAACAUUGACUUGUGGUAUAACCUUUAUGCGUAGGACAUACUCCUUUAGAUCUUGACUGAUACUUCCUCUUCGGUAAUCUCAUCUGGUUCUAACUCAAUAAUGUGGUUCGGGUCGUCCACAUAUUUUCGUAACAUCGAUACGUGAAAAAUGUUAUGAACACGCGACAUACUUGGCGGUAAAAUGAGUCUAUAGGCCACAAUUCCUAUUCGAUCGAGGAUUUCAAAUGGACUAAUAAAUCGAAGGUUUGAGUUUUCCUCUCUUCAUCAAAUCUUACUUCUAGAAUAACGCCUUCUUGCAUCUUCUUCUUUAUAUCCAUCAGCUCCGGUGUGUAGCUUGAACAGUUUUAACUUUAUCGAUUAAAGUCGGUUCUACUCGUAUAUUAUCACGUGGGUCCCUAGAG
Molecule: long non-coding RNA, 507 nt
Filed under: Panax ginseng (ginseng)
Lineage: Eukaryota; Viridiplantae; Streptophyta; Magnoliopsida; Apiales; Araliaceae
Description: long non-coding RNA (PGIN_LNC013271)
Source: RNAcentral